Molecule: ribosomal RNA, 301 nt
Filed under: uncultured bacterium
Lineage: Bacteria
Description: partial 16S ribosomal RNA
Rfam family: Bacterial small subunit ribosomal RNA
Source: RNAcentral
CAGCAGCCACGGUAAUACGAAGGGGGCUAGCGUUGCUCGGAAUGACUGGGCGUAAAGGGCGCGUAGGCGGCGAUCAAAGUCAGGCGUGAAAUUCCAGGGCUCAACCUGGGGCCUGCGUUUGAUACUUGAUUGCUAGAGUGGGGAAGAGGGUCGUGGAAUUCCCAGUGUAGAGGUGAAAUUCGUAGAUAUUGGGAAGAACACCGGUGGCGAAGGCGGCGACCUGGUCCUUGACUGACGCUGAGGCGCGAAAGCGUGGGGAGCAAACAGGAUUAGAUACCCGAGUAGUCCCUGUCUCUUAUAC